This 72-nucleotide transfer RNA is filed under the name Bacillus phage Moonbeam. It matches the Rfam family "tRNA". Rfam says of the family: Transfer RNA (tRNA) molecules are approximately 80 nucleotides in length. Their secondary structure includes four short double-helical elements and three loops (D, anti-codon, and T loops). Further hydrogen bonds mediate the characteristic L-shaped molecular structure. tRNAs have two regions of fundamental functional importance: the anti-codon, which is responsible for specific mRNA codon recognition, and the 3' end, to which the tRNAs corresponding amino acid is attached (by aminoacyl-tRNA synthetases). tRNAs cope with the degeneracy of the genetic code in two manners: having more than one tRNA (with a specific anti-codon) for a particular amino acid; and 'wobble' base-pairing, i.e. permitting non-standard base-pairing at the 3rd anti-codon position. The record is from Rfam by way of RNAcentral. Lineage: Duplodnaviria; Heunggongvirae; Uroviricota; Caudoviricetes; Herelleviridae.
UGACUAGUAGCUCAGUGGUAGAGCAAUCGGCUGUUAACCGAUCGGUCGUAGGUUCGAGUCCUACCUAGUCAG